RNAcentral lists this ribosomal RNA (266 nucleotides) under uncultured soil bacterium. Its description in RNAcentral is "partial 16S ribosomal RNA". It matches the Rfam family "Bacterial small subunit ribosomal RNA", at positions 26 to 320 of the family's 1533-position model. The record is from RNAcentral.
AGAACGAACGCUGGCGGCAUGCCUAAUACAUGCAAGUCGAACGAACUCUUCGGAGUUAGUGGCGCACGGGUGCGUAACGCGUGGGAAUCUGCCCCUUGGUUCGGAAUAACAGUUGGAAACGACUGCUAAUACCGGAUGAUGACGAAAGUCCAAAGAUUUAUCGCCAAGGGAUGAGCCCGCGUAGGAUUAGCUAGUUGGUGAGGUAAAGGCUCACCAAGGCAACGAUCCUUAGCUGGUCUGAGAGGAUGAUCAGCCACACGUGGACU